AUGGAUCUGGCAACCGGCGCCAUUGGCGACCUGCUCCCCAAGCUGGUCGAGCUCCUCAAGGGGGAGUACAAGCUGAAGGAGAAUGUCAGGGAAGGCGUCCUGUCUCUUGAGAGAGAGAUGAGGAGCAUGCACGCUGCCCUCCGCAAGGUGGCGGAGGUGCCGUGGGACCGGCUUGACGAGCAGGUCAAGCUCUGGGCAGGGGAGGUGAGGGAGCUAUCCUUUGACAUGGAGGACGUCGUCGACAAGUUCCUGGUGCGUGUCGAUGACGGCUCCAAGCCUGCACCCAACUCGAAGAAGCUCAAACAGCUCACGAAGAUGAUGGCCGGCUUGUUCACCAAGUGGAAGGCUCACCAUGAGAUCAUUGGUGCGAUCGAGGAGAUCAAUAAGCAACUCCAAGAGGUUGCUAACAUGCACGGAAGGUACCCCGUUGACAAUAUUGUCUCUAGUCCUGCAGCGGUGGCUCCCAUCGACCCUCGUCUUCGGGCUUUGUACACAGAAGUCACAGAGCUUGUUGGCAUUGCUGGAAAAAGGGAUCAAGAUCUAAUGAAGUUGCUCUCGGAGGGAGACAAUGUUUCCAAGAAAAAGUUGAAGAUUAUCUCUGUUGUCGGAUCUGGAGGAUUGGGCAAGACCACUCUUGUCAAAAUGGUUUAUGACAAGAUCAAAGAAGAUUUCGAUUGCAGUGCGUUUGUUCCUGUCGGUCGAAAUGGUGACGCAAAGAAGAUUCUCCUGAACAUUCUUUGUGAUCUUGACACGUACGUAGGUCUGAUCACCAUGUUGGAUGUAAGACAACUGAUCGACAAACUCAAGGAAACUCUCGAAAACACGAGGUACCUCAUUGUAAUUGAUGAUAUAAGGGAUGAAAAACCAUGGAAAAUAAUCAAAAGGGCAUUCUCUAAUAGCAACAAUUGUGGUAGUCGGUUAAUCAUGACAACUCAUAUAGUCAGUGUAGCUAAAUUAUGUUGCUCAUGUGCUGACGAUUCAAUCUAUCAAAUGGAGCCACUUAGUGAUGAUGAUUCCAAAAGGCUCUUCUAUAAAAGGAUAUUUUCUCACGAGAGUGGUUGUCCUCUUGAAUUUGAAGAAGUGUCCAUAGAUAUAUUGAAGAAAUGUGGUGGAGUACCAUUAGCCAUCAUUAUUAUAGCUGGUAUCUUAGUUAUUAAUCAUCACCCAAAACCGAAGGAUGAGUGGCAUGUUUUGCUAGAUUCCAUUGGUCAUGGACAUACCAAAGACCCCAGUGUAGAGGAGAUGUUGAGGAUACUAACGCUUAGCUAUUAUAACCUGCCUUCUCAUUUGAAGACAUGUUUGCUAUACCUAAGCAUGUUUCCGGAAUAUCACUAUAUUACGAAAGAUCAAUUGAUAUGGAUGUGGAUUGCUGAAAGUUUUAUCCAGUGUGAAGAUCCACAAACUAGUCUAUUUGAGAUCGGAGAAAAUUACUUCAAUGAGCUUGUGAAUAGAAGCUUAAUCCAGCCGGAAUAUUUUGAUGGGUUUGUAAUUGCUUGUCGUGUACACAAUAGUGUUCUUGAUUUAAUUUGCACAUUGUCAACUGAAGAGAACUUUACUACUAUAUUGAAUGAUACUCGGGAUAGCAUUUCUUCUAAAAGAAAGGUCCGUAGGCUGUCCCUCCAAAAUAGUAUCAAGGAAGAACAUCAAAAUACACAUCUCAAAUCUGCAAGGUCUAUUGCUACAUUUGAUGAUGUUGAUAUUGGUCUCAUGCCUCCUUUCUCAAGGUUUCUUUUUUUGCGUGUAUUGGAUUUGACUGAAUGUGAUGUUAGUGAUCAUAACCAUCUUAACCUUUGGGAGUUGUGGAGUUUACUUCAGCUGAGGUACCUAGGCCUAUACAAAUCAGGAAUUUCUGAGGUCCCAGAAGAAGUUGGAAAGUUGCAGUUUUUGCAGGUGCUGGAUUUGAGAGGGAAUUAUGAUAUAACAGAACUCCCAUCAGCAAUUACUAAGCUCAGAAGAUUGAUGUGCCUACAAAUUGAUUUUUCCUGCAGUCGGAUACCAGAUGGAAUUGGAAACAUGAUAUCAAUGGAAAAUCUCAGUUCUAUCUGUGGUGACUGUCUAGGCACCGUGAAAGAUUUGGGCAACGUGGAAAGACUAAGGCACCUCAAUAUCUGCUUUAAUGUUAUGAGCUUGAAGUUGGAGCAAGCUUUUGUGGAGUCACUAGGGAAACUACGCAACAUCCAGAGUGUACAUAUUUGGUCCCUUGGUUAUCAUAAUCAUUAUGUAUUCAUGGAUCUCCUAGGGAGCGAUUGGGUGCCCCCUCAAAGUCUUCGAGAAUUUGCUGCAAAGUUCAAGUUCGUCUUCAGCAAACUGCCAACAUGGUUAAGGAGGAACCCCUCGCAUCUGUCACAGCUCUCCAGGUUACCAGCCCUCCGUGACCUCUCCUUGGAGACAAUGCGCCAAGAUCCGUUACUCGUCGGUGCUGACGGUUUCCGUUGCCUGACAAGACUCAAGCUGAUUUGCAAUUGGGCUGGCCGAAUUGUGUUCCAGCCAGAAGCUUUGCCCAAGACUGAACAUGUUGAUAUCUUGAUAUAUUUCCGUGCUGCCAACGGUCGUGAUUGGUUUGAGCUGGGCUUGGAGAACCUGCAGUCCCUUCGGAGGGUCAUAGUCCAAAUCAGAUUGUCGCCGGGAGUGAUAAGCGGCGACGCCGGGGCCGAGCAAGGGAAGGCUACUUUGGAAAACGCACUCCGUGCCCAUCCUAAUCAUCCCAAAGUUGGUUCUCGUGACGAGGAAGCCAUCAGACGACCGAUUCGGGGUGAAGAAGCUGCAGUGAUCCGUUGUUUGAAUAUGCCCAACAAGUGGAGAACUUCAGGAACACUUUGUUCUAGCUGCACUCAGAAACUCCUGGGCUCAAAAAGCUUUUAUUGCUACCUGACAGAUAUAGAGUGCAACCAAGGACAGAUCAUACUCUGCCACUGCUACCCUCCCUGCCCUCAGCUUGAACUCUCCAUUCGGUGGAUGCCAUGCCAACAGCUGGAGAAUUUAUCUUGA
This 2988-nucleotide ribosomal RNA is filed under the name Triticum aestivum (bread wheat). RNAcentral's name for it is "partial small subunit ribosomal RNA". The record is from RNAcentral. Lineage: Eukaryota; Viridiplantae; Streptophyta; Magnoliopsida; Poales; Poaceae.